UUCAUACAUAUCCAAUCUUCAUAUUAUGCUUCAUCCACAUAUUAUAUUUGAUUCUUAUACAUUCCAAAUUUCUCUAAUUGAUUAAUGAUGCUAAAUUGAUGCCUCCAAAAGGAUGGAAAAAUGAUGUUCAAGAAAAUGCUUUCUAACAUUGCAAUUUAUACUAAGAUUUUUAUACCAAAUUAUAUUUUUUCUUCUAAAACUUUUUUUUUCUUUGUCUUGAAUCUCUUUAAAUUAAUCUUCUCCUAAUAAUUAAGAUUUUGGCACUCUAAGUGCACCUUUUGUUUUAAAACAAUCAAUGAAUAAAUUUCAUCACUUAUACAAAUCUUUUCAUAAACUAUACAAAUUUCCAUCCUACAAAAUGAAUUUAUAAUUCUAAAACUAAACCAACAAUCUUAAAUAAUCCUAAAACCAUCAUUUAAUUUCUAUGUAUAUUAUGAUAAUUUCAUUUCAAUCUACAACUUUAAUGUAAAAAUUAAUAAUCUCAAAUCAAAAUCCCUAAUCUAAAAUGACUUGUAUCUAAAAAAAUCUACCUAACAAACUUUUAUAUACAACUCAAAUAAUCUAUCAACAAUAAUAUACAAAUAAUAUGCAUAGUAUUGGCCAUCCUAACACAAAGUGAAUUAAAGGCACCCACCUUCUUAAUUGAAAAGAAAAACCCACUCAAGUUCCAAAAAGCAUCCAAUCAAACUAUAUCUUUCAUGUAAUUAACAAACAUCCUUGUUGAAAAUCUCAUAAAGAUAACUUUAGAAAAUUCUUUUUUGAAACUUCCAUCAAGGCAAUCUUUCACCUUACCAAUACCAAUCUCCCAUGGUCUUUUCUCAUGGAGACAUAAAAUCAUUGCAUUGUUACAAUAGGGCAACAUGUGCCACAAGCAAGGGAUAGUGUGAUUGUACACAUUACAAUCUUUCCAGCAAAUCUCAAUUGCAAAAUUAGCACCAAAGAGUGAUUGGUCACCAACUCAGCCAAACGAUUGGAUUGCACUCAUUAGAAACCUCGGGAAUACCAGCAAGAAAAUAAGUGAGAUACAACAUCUCACAACGGCCAACAUCACAGCAAAACAAAAUUCCCUCCAACUAACGCACGCUCUCAAACCCCGCCAACGUAGAGCAGAAAGGCUCGCAACCACCACUACGAAGAUAUAGCAUAAAAUUCUCAUGAGAAUAAAUCCUAGAACUGCCCUAAAAGUUUACACGAUAAAACAAACGCUUCACUCAAGCACUCUCGUUCCUAGAACUACACUAAGCCUAGUCGCAGCAAUAUUCUGAACAAGGACUAAAUUAUCAUACAACAAUAUCAAGGGUAUUACCACAAACCAACCAAAGUGAGCAUAACAAAGUACACAAGUCACUUUUGAGAAC
Molecule: long non-coding RNA, 1358 nt
Filed under: Physcomitrium patens
Lineage: Eukaryota; Viridiplantae; Streptophyta; Bryopsida; Funariales; Funariaceae
Description: long non-coding RNA (PPAT_LNC010373)
Source: RNAcentral